GUGAGGAAUAUUGGACAAUGGGCGCAAGCCUGAUCCAGCCAUGCCGCGUGCAGGAAGACGCAUCUAUGGUGUGUAAACUGCUUUUGUACGGGAAGAAACACUCCCUCGUGAGGGAGCUUGACGGUACCGUAAGAAUAAGGAUCGGCUAACUCCGUGCCAGCAGCCGCGGUAAUACGGAGGAUCCAAGCGUUAUCCGGAAUCAUUGGGUUUAAAGGGUCCGUAGGCGGUUUAAUAAGUCAGUGGUGAAAGCCCAUCGCUCAACGAUGGAACGGCCAUUGAUACUGUUAGACUUGAAUUACAAGGAAGUAACUAGAAUAUGUAGUGUAGCGGUGAAAUGCUUAGAUAUUACAUGGAAUACCAAUUGCGAAGGCAGGUUACUACUUGUGGAUUGACGCUGAUGGACGAAAGCGUGGGGAGCGAACAGGAUUAGAAACCCUAGGUCC
Molecule: ribosomal RNA, 443 nt
Filed under: uncultured bacterium
Lineage: Bacteria
Description: partial 16S ribosomal RNA
Rfam family: Bacterial small subunit ribosomal RNA
Source: RNAcentral